This 393-nucleotide unclassified non-coding RNA is filed under the name fungal sp. RNAcentral describes it as "partial internal transcribed spacer region". The stretch from base 1 to 46 matches the Rfam family "Eukaryotic small subunit ribosomal RNA", at positions 1786 to 1831 of the family's 1831-position model. Lineage: Eukaryota; Fungi. The record is from RNAcentral.
AAGUCGUAACAAGGUUUCCGUAGGUGAACCUGCGGAAGGAUCAUUAACACGUAUCCAACGUAAAAAACCCCCUGUGAACAUUCAAACCUGCUCUCGUAGCCCAGUGCGAUCCAGCAAUCCCGGUAAAUCAUUGUCGAACAGCUUUUGAUUCGGGACUUCUGACAAAUGAGAAGUUACAGUUACGAUUGAGCGGAGAUAGCUGCAUGGCUCUGAAAGUGUCAUUGAUUGUCUAAGGAUCUCGCCUCAACGAUUGCUAGAGGUCGCUCACCGACCGGCAGACAUGCAACCGGGUCCCCACGCCCCUUUACAACCCGAUUACCUCUGUGAGUCUAGGCGGACGCACUAGGCUAAAAAAACCUCGAACAACUGUUAACAAUGGAUAUCUUGGUUCUC